GACGAACGCUGGCGGCGUGCCUAAUACAUGCAAGUUGAGCGCUGAAGGUUGGUACUUGUACCGACUGGAUGAGCAGCGAACGGGUGAGUAACGCGUGGGGAAUCUGCCUUUGAGCGGGGGACAACAUUUGGAAACGAAUGCUAGUACCGCAUAAAAACUUUAAACACAAGUUUUAAGUUUGAAAGAUGCAAUUGCAUCACUCAAAGAUGAUCCCGCGUUGUAUUAGCUAGUUGGUGAGGUAAAGGCUCACCAAGGCGAUGAUACAUAGCCGACCUGAGAGGGUGAUCGGCCACAUUGGGACUGAGACACGGCCCAAACUCCUACGGGAGGCAGCAGUAGGGAAUCUUCGGCAAUGGACGAAAGUCUGACCGAGCAACGCCGCGUGAGUGAAGAAGGUUUUCGGAUCGUAAAACUCUGUUGGUAGAGAAGAACGUUGGUGAGAGUGGAAAGCUCAUCAAGUGACGGUAACUACCCAGAAAGGGACGGCUAACUACGUG
This 497-nucleotide ribosomal RNA is filed under the name uncultured bacterium. Its description in RNAcentral is "partial 16S ribosomal RNA". It matches the Rfam family "Bacterial small subunit ribosomal RNA", at positions 28 to 507 of the family's 1533-position model. The record is from RNAcentral.